GGGCCGGGCGCGGCUACACAUGCAGUCGAGCGGUAGAGAGAAGCUUGCUUCUCUUGAAGCGGCGGACGGGUGAGUAAUGCCUAGGAAUCUGCCUGGUAGUGGGGGAUAACGUUCGGAAACGGACGCUAAUACCGCAUACGUCCUACGGGAGAAAGCAGGGGACCUUCGGGCCUUGCGCUAUCAGAUGAGCCUAGGUCGGAUUAGCUAGUUGGUGAGGUAAUGGCUCACCAAGGCGACGAUCCGUAACUGGUCUGAGAGGAUGAUCAGUCACACUGGAACUGAGACACGGUCCAGACUCCUACGGGAGGCAUCAGUGGGGAAUAUUGGACAAUGGGCGAAAGCCUGAUCCAGCCAUGCCGCGUGUGUGAAGAAGGUCUUCGGAUUGUAAAGCACUUUAAGUUGGGAGGAAGGGCAGUUACCUAAUACGUGAUUGUUUUGACGUUACCGACAGAAUAAGCACCGGCUAACUCUGUGCCAGCAGCCGCGGUAAUACAGAGGGUGCAAGCGUUAAUCGGAAUUACUGGGCGUAAAGCGCGCGUACGUGGUUAGUUAAGUUGGAUGUGAAAUCCCCGGGCUCAACCUGGGAACUGCAUUCAAAACUGACUGACUAGAGUAUGGUAGAGGGUGGUGGAAUUUCCUGUGUAGCGGUGAAAUGCGUAGAUAUAGGAAGGAACACCAGUGGCGAAGGCGACCACCUGGACUGAUACUGACACUGAGGUGCGAAAGCGUGGGGAGCAAACAGGAUUAGAUACACUGGUAGUCCACGCCGUAAACGAUGUCAACUAGCCGUUGGGAGCCUUGAGCUCUUAGUGGCGCAGCUAACGCAUUAAGUUGACCGCCUGGGGAGUACCGCCGCGAGGUUAAACUCAAUGAAUUGACGGGGGCCCGCACAAGCGGUGGACCUGUGGUUUAUUUCGAAGCAACGCGAAUAACCUUACCAGGCCUUGACAUCCCAUGAACUUUCUACAGAUAGAUUGCUGCCUUCGGGAACAUGACAACAGUGCUGCAUGGCUGUCGUCAGCUCGUGUCUGAAAUGUUGGUUAGUCCCGUAACGAGCGCAACCCUUGUCCUUAGUUACCAGCACGUUAUGGUGGGCACUCUAAUGAGAC
Molecule: ribosomal RNA, 1109 nt
Filed under: Pseudomonas fluorescens
Lineage: Bacteria; Pseudomonadati; Pseudomonadota; Gammaproteobacteria; Pseudomonadales; Pseudomonadaceae
Description: bacterial SSU rRNA
Rfam family: Bacterial small subunit ribosomal RNA
Source: RNAcentral